UGGGGAAUAUUGCACAAUGGGCGAAAGCCUGAUGCAGCAACGCCGCGUGAGUGAUGAAGGCCUUCGGGUUGUAAAGCUCUGUCUUCUGGGACGAUAAUGACGGUACCAGAGGAGGAAGCCACGGCUAGCUACGUGCCAGCAGCCGCGGUAAUACGUAGGUGGCAAGCGUUGUCCGGAUUUACUGGGCGUAAAGGAUGCGUAGGCGGAUACUUAAGUCAGAUGUGAAAAUCCCGGGCUUAACUUGGGAACUGCAUUUGAAACUGGGUAUCUAGAGUGCGGGAGAGGAAAGUGGAAUUCCUAGGGUAGCGGUGAAAUGCGUAGAGAUUAGGAAGAACACCAGUGGCGAAGGCGAAUUUCUGGACCGUAACUGACGCUGAGGCAUGAAAGCGUGGGGAGCAAACA
Molecule: ribosomal RNA, 402 nt
Filed under: uncultured bacterium
Lineage: Bacteria
Description: bacterial SSU rRNA
Rfam family: Bacterial small subunit ribosomal RNA
Source: RNAcentral